RNAcentral lists this ribosomal RNA (322 nucleotides) under uncultured eukaryote. RNAcentral describes it as "partial 18S ribosomal RNA". It matches the Rfam family "Eukaryotic small subunit ribosomal RNA", at positions 1470 to 1796 of the family's 1831-position model. The record is from RNAcentral.
CCCUUAGAUGUUCUGGGCCGCACGCGCGCUACACUGGUGCGUUCAACAAGUUUACAACCUUGAUUGACAAGUCUGGGUAAUCUUUUGAAUGCGCACCGUGCUAGGGAUAGAUUAUUGCAAUUAUUAAUCUUGAACGAGGAAUUCCUAGUAAACGCAAGUCAUCAGCUUGCAUUGAUUACGUCCCUGCCCUUUGUACACACCGCCCGUCGCACCUACCGAUUGAAUGGUCCGGUGAAAUCUCGGGACGGCGGCUUGGUCGCUUGCGUCCGACUGCUGAAACUUGAUUAAACCAUAUCAUUUAGAGGAAGGUGAAGUCGUAACA